This 496-nucleotide long non-coding RNA is filed under the name Homo sapiens (human). Its description in RNAcentral is "HSALNT0211682". Lineage: Eukaryota; Metazoa; Chordata; Mammalia; Primates; Hominidae. The record is from RNAcentral.
UUUUCUUUUCUCUCUUCUUUUCUUAUUAAAAAGAAAGAAAUGUCAGUGUAGUCUGUUGAAUAAUAUACUUGCUCUUUUUUUUUUUUUUUUUUUUUUCAACAUUCUCUCUUUCCCCUUAUUUCAGGUCAGAAGAGGCCAAGUGAUGGAAAUAGUGGAUUAAUGGCAAAAAAGCAAAAGCGUACCCCAAAGCGAACAAGUGCUGCAGCCAAAAAUGAAAAGAAUGGAACAGGACAAAGCAGUGAUAGUGAAGAUCUUCCUGUCCUAGACAAUUCAAGUAAAUGUACCCCAGUAAAGCAUCUUAAUGUAUCUAAGCCACAGAAACUUGCACGAUCUCCUGCAAGAAUAUCCCCGCACAUCAAAGAUGGAGAGAAAGAUAAACACAGAGAAAAACAUCCGAAUUCAUCCCCUAGGACAUAUAAAUGGAGCUUUCAGCUCAAUGAAUUAGAUAAUAUGAACAGUACAGAGAGAAUCUCAUUUCUCCAAGAAAAACUACAGG